Molecule: transfer RNA, 64 nt
Filed under: Marcia japonica
Lineage: Eukaryota; Metazoa; Mollusca; Bivalvia; Venerida; Veneridae
Description: tRNA-Ala
Source: RNAcentral
AAAAUUGGUACUUUAAUAAAAAGGUUAGAUUUGCAUUCUAAAAUUGGUAUAAACCUCAAUUUUA